Molecule: ribosomal RNA, 492 nt
Filed under: uncultured bacterium
Lineage: Bacteria
Description: partial 16S ribosomal RNA
Rfam family: Bacterial small subunit ribosomal RNA
Source: RNAcentral
GAUGAACGCUAGCUACAGGCUUAACACAUGCAAGUCGAGGGGAAGCGACAUCGAAAGCUUGCUUUUGAUGGGCGUCGACCGGCGCACGGGUGAGUAACGCGUAUCCAACCUGCCCAUCACUUGGGGAUAACCUUGCGAAAGUAAGACUAAUACCCAAUGAUAUCUCUAGAAGACAUCUGAAAGAGAUUAAAGAUUUAUCGGUGAUGGAUGGGGAUGCGUCUGAUUAGCUUGUUGGCGGGGUAACGGCCCACCAAGGCAACGAUCAGUAGGGGUUCUGAGAGGAAGGUCCCCCACAUUGGAACUGAGACACGGUCCAAACUCCUACGGGAGGCAGCAGUGAGGAAUAUUGGUCAAUGGGCGAGAGCCUGAACCAGCCAAGUAGCGUGCAGGAAGACGGCCCUAUGGGUUGUAAACUGCUUUUAUAAGGGAAUAAAGUGAGAGUCGUGACUCUUUUUGUAUGUACCUUAUGAAUAAGGACCGGCUAAUUCCGUG